AAGAUCAAGUACAACUGUAAAGGUGGAUGGAAGUGGAGGGACUCCAAAAAGCCUAACCCAAAUACACUUGUUGGAGCCAUGGUUGCUGGCCCUGACAAGCACGAUGGUUUCCAUGAUGUUCGUACCAACUACAAUUACACAGAACCAACUCUUGCUGGCAAUGCAGGUCUAGUUGCAGCACUUGUUGCUCUGUCUGGUGACAAGUCUACUGGGAUUGACAAGAACACCAUUUUCUCAGCUGUUCCUCCAAUGUUCCCCACUCCACCACCACCUCCUGCACCCUGGAAGCCUUAAGCUGCCCGUAUUUUUGAGAAAAAGCAUGUUUUGUGUGACUUUUGGUUAGAGCAUUUUGCUGCAGCAAACCUUGGAAAUUAGAUUUGGAAGUUAUGGUAGUGCAAAACUAAGGAAGAAGAUGGCGCAUAGAAAAGAUUGCAUUUGACAAUGUUAGUGGAGACAGUUGGGCGAGGCAUGUUGGACUCAAACGAGCAUUAAGAAAUUGAUGUUCUACAUAU
RNAcentral lists this long non-coding RNA (512 nucleotides) under Manihot esculenta (cassava). RNAcentral describes it as "long non-coding RNA (MESC_LNC003216)". Lineage: Eukaryota; Viridiplantae; Streptophyta; Magnoliopsida; Malpighiales; Euphorbiaceae. The record is from RNAcentral.